Molecule: ribosomal RNA, 434 nt
Filed under: uncultured Blautia sp.
Lineage: Bacteria; Bacillati; Bacillota; Clostridia; Lachnospirales; Lachnospiraceae
Description: bacterial SSU rRNA
Rfam family: Bacterial small subunit ribosomal RNA
Source: RNAcentral
ACGGAAGGCAGCAGUGGGGAAUAUUGCACAAUGGGGGAAACCCUGAUGCAGCGACGCCGCGUGAAGGAAGAAGUAUCUCGGUAUGUAAACUUCUAUCAGCAGGGAAGAUAGUGACGGUACCUGACUAAGAAGCCCCGGCUAACUACGUGCCAGCAGCCGCGGUAAUACGUAGGGGGCAAGCGUUAUCCGGAUUUACUGGGUGUAAAGGGAGCGUAGACGGUGUGGCAAGUCUGAUGUGAAAGGCAUGGGCUCAACCUGUGGACUGCAUUGGAAACUGUCAUACUUGAGUGCCGGAGGGGUAAGCGGAAUUCCUAGUGUAGCGGUGAAAUGCGCAGAUAUUAGGAGGAACACCAGUGGCGAAGGCGGCUUACUGGACGGUAACUGACGUUGAGGCUCGAAAGCGUGGGGAGCAAACAGGAUUAGAUACCCUGGUA